Molecule: ribosomal RNA, 460 nt
Filed under: uncultured bacterium
Lineage: Bacteria
Description: partial 16S ribosomal RNA
Rfam family: Bacterial small subunit ribosomal RNA
Source: RNAcentral
CCUACGGGCGGCAGCAGUGAGGAAUAUUGGUCAAUGGACGAGAGCCUGAACCAGCCAAGUAGCGUGAAGGAUGACUGCCCUAUGGGUUGUAAACUUCUUUUAUAUGGGAGUAAAAUGUUCCACGUGUGGGAUUUUGUAUGUACCUUAUGAAUAAGGAUCGGCUAACUCCGUGCCAGCAGCCGCGGUAAUACGGAGGAUCCGAGCGUUAUCCGGAUUUAUUGGGUGUAAAGGGAGCGUAGGUGGAUUGUUAAGUCAGUUGUGAAAGUUUGCGGCUCAACCGUAAAAUUGCAGUUGAAACUGGGAGUCUUGAGUACAGUAGAGGUGGGCGGAAUUCGUGGUGUAGCGGUGAAAUGCUUAGAUAUUACGAAGAACUCCGAUUGCGAAGGCAGCUCACUGGACUGCAACUGACACUGAGGCUCGAAAGUGUGGGUAUCAAACAGGAUUAGAUACCCUUGUAGUC